CCUUAUUUGAAGAAAAAGCAAUGAACAUGGCAUGAUAAUAAUCCCAAGCACACUGCUAAUGCAGUGAAAUCAUUUGAAGAGGAAAACAGCUGAUAUUACACUGACAGUCAUGGACUGACUUCCACAGAGUCCAGACCUGAAUAUUAUAGAGGCCGUAUGGGAUCACCUGGACAGAGAAAGAAAUAAAAGACAACCUAAAUCUAAAGAAGAACUUUGGGAAGUGAUGAAAAUGCCUGGUACAAUACUGUAUAGCAGAAUAUUACUUCAAAACAACUUCAGGAAGGUCUCCCCAAAAGAGUUCAAGAUGUGCUUUGUGCCAAGGGAGGUCACACUAAAUACUGAUUUUUGCCUGAAGAAGCCAUUUUGUUUUGAAAAUUGUGUUUAUUUUAUUUUUUAUGUACAUAUUCCCUGUAUUUUCUGUUUGUAGUAAUAAAGAUACAGAAAAAUAAAUAUGGAUGGUCAUUAAAAUUUUGCUAAAACAACAAA
Long non-coding RNA from Bombina bombina (fire-bellied toad), 486 nucleotides. RefSeq lists it as uncharacterized. The transcript is spliced from 2 exons. The record is from RefSeq and is a predicted model, not a curated record. NCBI's taxonomy places the organism in Eukaryota, Metazoa, Chordata, Amphibia, Anura, Bombinatoridae.